AACUUUCAACAACGGAUCUCUUGGCUCUCGCAUCGAUGAAGAACGUAGCGAAUUACGAUAUGUAAUGUGAAUUGCAGAAUUCAGUGAAUCAUCGAAUCUUUGAACGCACCUUGCGCUCUUUGGUAUUCCGAAGAGCAUGCCUGUUUGAGUGUCAUG
This 156-nucleotide ribosomal RNA is filed under the name Waitea circinata. RNAcentral describes it as "5.8S ribosomal RNA". It matches the Rfam family "5.8S ribosomal RNA". Rfam says of the family: 5.8S ribosomal RNA (5.8S rRNA) is a component of the large subunit of the eukaryotic ribosome. It is transcribed by RNA polymerase I as part of the 45S precursor that also contains 18S and 28S rRNA. The record is from RNAcentral. Lineage: Eukaryota; Fungi; Basidiomycota; Agaricomycetes; Corticiales; Corticiaceae.